Molecule: transfer RNA, 71 nt
Filed under: Bacteroidota bacterium
Lineage: Bacteria; Pseudomonadati; Bacteroidota
Description: Bacteroidetes bacterium tRNA-Lys
Rfam family: tRNA
About the family: Transfer RNA (tRNA) molecules are approximately 80 nucleotides in length.
Source: RNAcentral
GGACCGUUAGUAAAUCGGAGAUACACGAGACUUUUAAUCUUGUUAGGUGGGUUCGACUCCCACACGGUUCA